RNAcentral lists this ribosomal RNA (258 nucleotides) under uncultured bacterium. RNAcentral describes it as "partial 16S ribosomal RNA". It matches the Rfam family "Bacterial small subunit ribosomal RNA", at positions 524 to 776 of the family's 1533-position model. The record is from RNAcentral.
UACGGAGGGUGCAAGCGUUGUCCGGAAUCACUGGGCGUAAAGGGCGCGUAGGCGGCUCAUGAAGGCUGUGGUGAAAGUCCGGGGCUCAACCUCGGAUCGGCCGUGGCGACUCGUGGGCUGGAGCACUGUAGAGGCGGGUGGAAUUCCGGGUGUAGCGGUGGGAAUGCGUAGAGAUCCGGAAGAACACCAGUGGCGAAGGCGGCUUUCUGGACGGAUUUACUGACGCUGAGACGCGAAAAGCGUGGGGGAGCAAACAGG